ACCCUCCAGUGCACUCUGACUGCCUGUAUCUUCUCCUUCAGGGCCGAAAGGAGGAUACCUUAUAACGGAGGCCAAAAUGAUAAAUAUUCUCAGUGCAGCUCAUCUAGUCAUGAAAAUCACUGCCUACUGCACACAGCAGUGUAUGCCGGAUGUGCUGCUCCAGCUCCAGCCCCAGCCUGUCUGCCUUGCAGUACUGAUGCUUAACCACCAUGGUGAGUGUGUGCAGGGGCCACUAAUUCGGAAGACAGGGGGCACCGAGACAGCCAAGGCACUGUGGGGGAGGCUGUCUCUUUGGGGUCCUUGGGGCAGGGUGUGGGAGUCAGGGGUAAGGUGGGCUGGCAUGAUGGAAAUUAGCCUCCGGUUGUUGUUUUGAUUAUUGGCCCUUCCACAAAUUUCCUAGUUCCACAUGGUGUGCAUGAGAACACCUUUGGCUUAAAAGAACUAAGAUGGUUUUUAUUUCCACACUGAGCUCCAACCAAUGCAGUAGGGGUCAAUAAAUGUGCAUUCACUCAUUCAUCCCGUCUAUCAGCCAUUUAUUGAGUGCCUAGUGUGUGCCAGAGAUACUUCAAGGCACUGGGGAUGCAUCGUUGAACCAGACAGAACCUCCUACCCUCGUGGAGUUUACCUUGAAUGGAGGGAGAAUGGAGAAAACAGUAAGUAACCAAAUAAAACAAAC
Molecule: long non-coding RNA, 676 nt
Filed under: Homo sapiens (human)
Lineage: Eukaryota; Metazoa; Chordata; Mammalia; Primates; Hominidae
Description: HSALNT0269417
Source: RNAcentral